Molecule: long non-coding RNA, 684 nt
Organism: Cicer arietinum (chickpea)
Lineage: Eukaryota; Viridiplantae; Streptophyta; Magnoliopsida; Fabales; Fabaceae
Source: RefSeq, a predicted model, not a curated record
GUUAUAUAUUAUCUCGUUGGUGUUUUCUUUCUUGCCUUCUUGCUUUUUCUCUAUGAAUUCACUAUUCUCUCUAAAGAACUCGUUUUCUAUUUUUGCUUCUAAUCUCUCCACUGUUUAUAUAUAUAUUUUUUUUUUUAAUGAACCCCUUCAUCCUUUGUUUCAUUUAUUAUCAUUUUUUUUAAACUUUCAGCUCCCUCUUUCCUCCUUUUUAUUCCUCUAUAAAUAGUGUGAGAUUAAGUAGCUGUUCAUUCUUCAAGAUUAAGUAAAAUACAACUUGUAAGACAUUGAGACAAACUUCAUUUUUGCUUUUUUUGCAGGUGAUGACAUAGCAGGAGAGAUACCAUUGCUACUGCUCUGCUCAUAAUGGUCGCAAAAUUAGGCAUUAUUUGUAUAAUUAUAAUAAAUAGGGAAGUUAUAGGAGAAGCAAGAGUAGACAAUAAUUUAGGAUUGGAUGCUCAUUGACAAAGACAAAGUUUCGGAUUCUUGGAAACUGCAUCAAUUUAAAAAGUGGCAUAUGAUAUGUCAUAUGUUUGGACUAGCCACACCUAGAAACUGUGUCCCAAUACAUAUUAACGUGAAAUUUCUUAAGCUACAAAAUGAAGCUUUUGUAUUGCCACUGUGUUUCACCGCAAUUUUGUAAAUAUUAUUUAAAUGGGAAUCCAAACCAAUGUAUUUAUAUCUAAA